Molecule: long non-coding RNA, 1337 nt
Organism: Triticum dicoccoides
Lineage: Eukaryota; Viridiplantae; Streptophyta; Magnoliopsida; Poales; Poaceae
Exons: 3
Source: RefSeq, a predicted model, not a curated record
GCCAUCACAACUGUUGCUAUUAAGUUGCUAUUUGUUUUCAAGCUGGCUGGUAUAGUCUCUCACAUCAGCAUCAGCUUCUCACCACUUUCUCUUUUGCAAGGCAACGUGUUAUUGCUGGGAGAUGGACUCAGAUGAGAAAACUGCCGUUUGGUGAUACAAAAACGUGUUAGGUUCCCCUCAGCGUAACACUUUGCUCUAACAGGUUAUACGUGCCAACCUCUUUUGGUAUUUUGUUUUACAAGUAAGAGGGGACAGCAGGCCAUCACGUAUUUUUGUAUAGCUAUGUGUACCAAACAAUCUUGUACCUGUUGUCACUUUCUUAGGGUCUUGAAAUUCCAAAGGAUUUUUAUAAUCGUCGGGACUUUUCUUCUCCUACAUCACCUCUUUGAUUUUGGUUUGUUGGAUUGCAAUAUAUGGAAUUUUGUUUGUAAGGAUUGAUUCACAGUAUUUUAUUUUUACUUAAGUUAUUAACUUUUUCGGAAGAUUCAUGUAUUUUCUCUUUUAUUACCUCCAUCCCAUAAUAGAAGAAUGUUUUUCAAGCUAUGUUAGCUUGAAAACGUUCUUAUAUUAUGGAUAUUAUGGACGUAGGGAGUAGCAAUCAAACAACCUUUGUAUAUUUAAGUUGGCACGACAUUAAGAAGAGACUUUCCUUCCCUUCUCACAAGGCGACUAGUGUAAAUCCUUCCUUUUCUCGAUCUUCGCUGGCAAGCCUGUGGAUUCACCUCCCCCUCAUUUGUCGCCCCGGCGGCCGGUGGUGUGGAAGAAAAUAUUGGUGCCUUGACUCUGGCUAGUCGACAUGUUAGGGUUUUACUCCUCGCAGGGUGGUGCUCGGAUGAAUGGCAGCGUUUCUUCUUCAAGUUAAUCUUCUGGACUUCGAUCUUCCUCGAGUUCGUCUAGCGCGAUGGAUUGGAUGGGGCUCUGACGACAUAGAUUCCCUGCCAGCUCCUCAGGGCAGAGUGUGUUCUGGGCCGAGUUUGCAUGGUGGAGAGGAGAGGAAGUGAACGAGAAGGUGUGGACAUGAGCUUUACGCAUCUGGUUACCAGCUCACGUCAAAGGCAACAUGUUAUUGCUGGGAGAUGGACUCAGAUGAGAAAACUGCCGUUUGGUGAUACAAAAACGUGUUAGGUUCCCCUCAGCGUAACACUUUGCUCUAACAGGUUAUAGGAGUACUUGCUAACCUCUUUUGGUAUUUUGUUUUGCAAGCAAGACGGGAGAGUUGGCCAUCACGUGCUCAUUUUAGUAUGUAUAGCUAAACCAAACAAUCUUGUAGAGUACUUAUUAUCACUUUCUUAGGGUCUAGAAAUUCCAAAGGAUUUUUAUUGGGACUUUUUUCUUUC